RNAcentral lists this ribosomal RNA (446 nucleotides) under uncultured marine bacterium. RNAcentral's name for it is "bacterial SSU rRNA". It matches the Rfam family "Bacterial small subunit ribosomal RNA", at positions 360 to 804 of the family's 1533-position model. The record is from RNAcentral.
AAUAUUGGGCAAUGCAGGCAACUAUGACCCAGCCAUGCCGAGGCCAGGAAGAGUGCCCUAUGGGGAGUAAAGAAAUUUUACACAGGAGUAAACUUAUCCAUCAAGGGAGAAGUGACGGUACUAUAAGAAUAAGGACCGUCGAAUUCCUUCCCAGCAGCCGCGGUAAUAAGGAGGGUGCAAGCGUUAUUCGGAAUCACGGGGGGAAUAAAGUCGUUUGAGGGGCAAUUAAGUCAGAGGUGAAAUCCCACGACUCAACUGUUCAAAAACCUUUGAUAAAGGUUGUGACUUGUUAUAGUAGGGAGAUAGAAUAUUUCGUGGGGCGGUGAAAUGCAUUGAUAUUAGAUAGAAUCCCGAUUGGGAAGGCCGUUUACUUACUGUACAUUGACGCUAAUGAAAGAAAGCGUGGGGAGCGAACAGGAUUAGAUACCCUGGUAGUCCACGCCGUA